GGAGGAAUAUUGCACAACGGGGGGAACCCAGGUGCAGCAACGCCGCGUGAGUGAAGAAGGCCUUCGGGUCGUAAAACUCUUUUCUGAGGGAUGAGGAAGGCCAGUACCUCAGGAACAAGUCUCGGCUAACUACGUGCCAGCAGCCGCGGUAAGACGUAGGAGGCGAGCGUUAUCCGGAUUUACUGGGCGUAAGGGGCAAGUAGGCGGUGAUGCAAGUCAGAUGUGACAGAUCCCGGCUCAACUGGGAAAGGACUAUUGAGACUGCAUAACUAGAGGGCAGGAGAGGGGAGCAGAAUUCCUUGUGUAGCGGUGGAAUGCUCAGAUACAAGGAGGAACACCAGUGGCGAAGGCGGCUCUCUGGCCUGCACCUGACGCUGAAGAGCGAAAGCUAGGGGAGCGAACGG
This 404-nucleotide ribosomal RNA is filed under the name uncultured bacterium. RNAcentral describes it as "bacterial SSU rRNA". It matches the Rfam family "Bacterial small subunit ribosomal RNA", at positions 355 to 775 of the family's 1533-position model. The record is from RNAcentral.